RNAcentral lists this ribosomal RNA (394 nucleotides) under uncultured bacterium. RNAcentral describes it as "bacterial SSU rRNA". It matches the Rfam family "Bacterial small subunit ribosomal RNA", at positions 505 to 898 of the family's 1533-position model. The record is from RNAcentral.
GUGCCAGCAGCCGCGGUAAUACGGAGGGUGCGAGCGUUAAUCGGAAUUACUGGGCGUAAAGCGCAUGCAGGUGGUUUGUUAAGUCAGAUGUGAAAGCCCUGGGCUCAACCUAGGAGUUGCAUUUGAAACUGACAAGCUAGAGUACUGUAGAGGGGGGUAGAAUUUCAGGUGUAGCGGUGAAAUGCGUAGAGAUCUGAAGGAAUACCGGUGGCGAAGGCGGCCCCCUGGACAGAUACUGACACUCAGAUGCGAAAGCGUGGGGAGCAAACAGGAUUAGAUACCCUGGUAGUCCACGCCGUAAACGAUGUCUACUUGGAGGUUGUGGCCUUGAGCCGUGGCUUUCGGAGCUAACGCGUUAAGUAGACCGCCUGGGGAGUACGGUCGCAAGAUUAAA